This is a long non-coding RNA of Ornithodoros turicata, 1648 nucleotides long. RefSeq lists it as uncharacterized. The record is from RefSeq and is a predicted model, not a curated record. Lineage: Eukaryota; Metazoa; Arthropoda; Arachnida; Ixodida; Argasidae. The transcript is spliced from 2 exons.
UCGCAUGGUAAUAAUUAUUUUGGAACACCGUGCACACGUCUUCUUAUUGAAGUCACUGAAGUCAGUAGAAAACAAGCAUCAUUCAAUGUGUUUGGAGUGUUUCACAAAUCACACAAAUCACAAAUGUGUUUCAAUGUGUUCAGGCGUGAAAUUAUGUCUCCUGUCAAUACAAUUGCAAUAUUCCUACGUGCCGAGAACGACAUCACGACGUCGACCGAUUUUAUGUUGCGUGCCUGUACCGUCACGGACACACGCGAGGGAUAUCGUCGGGAACAGAUGAAGUCACCACCACAGCUGUAACUAACUACAAGUAAUUGAGCUCCUGUAAGUAGCUGCUUUUGUGUAACUAAUUACUGUAAACAACUACUUUCUCAGGCGCGUGUUUAACUAAUUUAAUUACUGUUAACUGUUAUGCCCUGGGGUGGAACGUUGGAACUGUGGGACGUGAAACUGUGUUCCAAAGUUUUACAUCUGGUCACCUUGAACAUGAGUAACCGGAAGUAAUUGAUAAGUAACUAUUACUGAGGUAAAAAUCAGUCUAAGUAUCUUUUCCUAUAACUUAAUUACUUCAAUUAGUUUAAUUACACAGAGUAUUUUACCGUGUGCAGGGAGUGCAGGCGAAAAUGAAUCUACUUUCUGUCACAGGGGGAGACACUUGCCUUCUGUGAUGUAGGAGCACUGAUCUCUAUGUAUAAAGGCUGGAUAGCGGAUGGGUGAGGGUAUCGCGGGAAAGGGUACGACCACCGGCCGCCAUAUUGCGGUGCUCAAAAGAGCGAUUACAGCCCAUAGGAAUGCAUGUAAGCUGUGACAAGUUUUGCUGUUUGUGAGCGCUUCCCUUGCUGCUUCGCUAAAAUUUUGCCACGGAUCGCUGCAGAAAUCCCUCGUGAUUGAGUUCCUUACGUUUUUUGUGUGAAAUCCUGUCACAUACAUGUUAUUUCCUGUCUAUUUUGUACUCGUGUGAGCGCGUGUCGUUCCAAUCUUGUACUUUGAACUACGAUUAUGUGAUUUGCUGGUUUUGUGUGGUGUUGUAUUUGUUGUGUUACGUUUCCUUUGUCGUCCGUCAGCGUGUUGCUUCCCGUGUUUCUCCCAUUUCCUUUCUGCUCGGGUGUGCGGAAUGCCAGGGAAUGUUUGGCACGUUUGUUUAUGUAAUUACCUUAAUAUGCUUGGGUAUAAACAUUAUGCUUUGCACAGAAAGUUUAGAUAUGACUGGUUAUGACACGAAAUGCCGAACGGCACUGAAGCACUUCCAAAGGACUAGAAUGAUACGUGAUAUAAAGGCUAUAUGACGGUAAAAACAUACCGACUAGAAAUAUGUGCACUGGGGAAAUAAAUGGCGGUAAAGACAGUUCAAAAUGACUAGAGGUAGAGUGAAUAAGUCAUAAAAAGGCUAAGUAGCAAGGUCUUGUGGUGAAAGUUCCAACAUCAAAGUAUCACAAGUCCAGUUGCAACAGCAAGUUUGAAGCAGUCAAGCAGCUGAGGCCUGGCUGUCACCUUCUCUGUAUAUUCUUUGGCAAGGUGGUACAGUCCGAUACUGCUGUAGCACUGGGAAACUUCUUUGAUCAGACGGAUCACAUUGUUUUCAUUUGGGCUGCAUUCAAACAUGUGUUGUCGCAAGCUUAAGCAGCGAGAAUAAAGAGUAGACAUUCGA